CACGUAGGGGGCAAGCGUUGUCCGGAUUUAUUGGGCGUAAAGAGCUCGUAGGUGGUUCGAUAAGUCGGGUGUGAAACCUCCAGGCUCAACCUGGAGACGCCACCCGAUACUGUCGUGACUAGAGUCCAGUAGGGGAGCGUGGAAUUCCUGGUGUAGCGGUGAAAUGCGCAGAUAUCAGGAGGAACACCGGUGGCGAAGGCGGGUCUCUGGGCCGAUACUGACGCUGAGGAGCGAAAGCGUGGGGAGCGAACAGG
RNAcentral lists this ribosomal RNA (254 nucleotides) under uncultured bacterium. Its description in RNAcentral is "partial 16S ribosomal RNA". It matches the Rfam family "Bacterial small subunit ribosomal RNA", at positions 524 to 776 of the family's 1533-position model. The record is from RNAcentral.